This is a long non-coding RNA of Betta splendens (Siamese fighting fish), 988 nucleotides long. RefSeq lists it as uncharacterized. The transcript is spliced from 4 exons. NCBI's taxonomy places the organism in Eukaryota, Metazoa, Chordata, Actinopteri, Anabantiformes, Osphronemidae. The record is from RefSeq and is a predicted model, not a curated record.
GGAGCGGGGGCGCACGGUGACUCAGGUAAUCCCACUUCGCUGGUGGUUUGCUCUCCAAACACAGCAGAGUCCACACCCUGCAAUGGAACAGGGUGGACACGACGUCAGCAGCAAUAAACACUGUGAUUACACCAAGCACUGAAGCAGACAGAAGUCCUCUCUCUGCCAGAACACCAGGGGACGCACACGAUGACUCAUGAGAUACAGACUGACAAAUCUUCUCUGCAAAGGUCAGGCUGGGUUAACCGUCAUGGUUCAGGUCUGAGGGAAGCUGUCCUCACCUGAUUGGUGCAAACGUGGGCUGGGACUCAGAUCCGUCACCUGAUUGGUUCCUUACAAACACGUACCCAAAACCUUUCUCUUGAUGACAAACCUCAGCUGAGCUCCGUGUGGUGGUGGAUUCCACCAUCAGCUGCUGCAGUCGUCUACCGCUAGGUGGCACUCUGAGACCAUUAAUUGGCAGCUGUGCGCACUGUGGGCAGAUGGAGGCUGGGAUUAAGAGGCUCUGGAGCCAUGAGUGGCGCUGUGUAGCUUACACAGCUUUUCUGGCCUGUACUGGACCACACAGACACUGAUCAACAGCUGAGCGCAGCCACGAGGCGCUGCAACUGCUCUAGUGCAGUUUCCCUCAACCCUGAUGCACCAAAAGGACAGUUUGAAGAAAACAGUACAGUCCAUUAUAAAGAUUAAAGGUUUUUACUGCUUCCCUCAAUCUGUUGCUACUGCUCGUAGGCCAUAUUGCACACAGAAACCGAGUGGAAACAAUAAACAGCAGUGACAGCAGCUUGCAGCUGUCACAUGUUUGGUAAUUGUAUAUGUUUGCCACAAGUUAGUAAUCCCCACAGCUUGCCCUAUCUGCCUCCAGCAGCAUUAACACAUGCAGACAUCACAGCCACGAUAGAACCCAAAGGUGAGGCUUCACCACCACACUCGCAUUCAACAGAUAAAACAAACGCUGUCCGUGAGUGGAAGCGGUGUCACCUUCAGG